GACGAACGCUGGCGGCGUGCCUAACACAUGCAAGUCGAACGGGGUGAUUUCCUUCGGGGAAUCACUUAGUGGCGAACGGGUGAGUAACGCGUGAGAAACCUGCCUUUCAGUGGGGGACAACAGUUGGAAACGACUGCUAAUACCGCAUAACGUAUUUAGGGGGCAUCCCUUGAAUACCAAAGAUUUAUUGCUGAAAGAUGGUCUCGCGUCUGAUUAGCUUGUUGGCGGGGUAACGGCCCACCAAGGCGACGAUGCAUAGGGGUUCUGAGAGGAAGGUCCCCCCACACUGGUACUGAGACACGGACCAGACUCCUACGGGAGGCAGCAGUGAGGAAUAUUGGUCAAUGGGCAGAGCCUGAACCAGCCAAGUCGCGUGAGGGAUGACGGUCCUAUGGAUUGUAAACCUCUUUGUCGGGAGCAAGAUUUCUACGUGUAGAGAAGUGAGAGUACCCGAAGAAAAAGCAUCGGCUAACUCCGUG
Molecule: ribosomal RNA, 479 nt
Filed under: uncultured bacterium
Lineage: Bacteria
Description: bacterial SSU rRNA
Rfam family: Bacterial small subunit ribosomal RNA
Source: RNAcentral